AACGAUGUGGGAAGGCCCAGACAGCCAGGAUGUUGGCUUAGAAGCAGCCAUCAUUUAAAGAAAGCGUAAUAGCUCACUGGUCGAGUCGGCCUGCGCGGAAGAUGUAACGGGGCUAAACCAUGCACCGAAGCUGCGGCAGCGACGCUGAUGCGUUGUUGGGUAGGGGAGCGUUCUGUAAGCCUGUGAAGGUGUGCUGUGAGGCAUGCUGGAGGUAUCAGAAGUGCGAAUGCUGACAUAAGUAACGAUAAAGCGGGUGAAAAGCCCGCUCGCCGGAAGACCAAGGGUUCCUGUCCAACGUUAAUCGGGGCAGGGUGAGUCGACCCCUAAGGCGAGGCCGAAAGGCGUAGUUGAUGGGAAACAGGUUAAUAUUCCUGUACUUGGUGUUACUGCGAAGGGGGGACGGAGAAGGCUAUGUUGGCCGGGCGACGGUUGUCCCGGUUUAAGCGUGUAGGCUGGUUUUCCAGGCAAAUCCGGAAAACUAAGGCUGAGGCGUGAUGACGAGGCACUACGGUGCUGAAGCAACAAAUGCCCUGCUUCCAGGAAAAGCCUCUAAGCAUCAGGUAACAUCAAAUCGUACCCCAAACCGACACAGGUGGUCAGGUAGAGAAUACCAAGGCGCUUGAGAGAACUCGGGUGAAGGAACUAGGCAAAAUGGUGCCGUAACUUCGGGAGAAGGCACGCUGAUAUGUAGGUGAAGUCCCUCGCGGAUGGAGCUGAAAUCAGUCGAAGAUACCAGCUGGCUGCAACUGUUUAUUAAAAACACAGCACUGUGCAAACACGAAAGUGGACGUAUACGGUGUGACGCCUGCCCGGUGCCGGAAGGUUAAUUGAUGGGGUCAGCGCAAGCGAAGCUCUUGAUCGAAGCCCCGGUAAACGGCGGCCGUAACUAUAACGGUCCUAAGGUAGCGAAAUUCCUUGUCGGGUAAGUUCCGACCUGCACGAAUGGCGUAAUGAUGGCCAGGCUGUCUCCACCCGAGACUCAGUGAAAUUGAACUCGCUGUGAAGAUGCAGUGUACCCGCGGCAAGACGGAAAGACCCCGUGAACCUUUACUAUAGCUUGACACUGAACAUUGAGCCUUGAUGUGUAGGAUAGGUGGGAGGCUUUGAAGUGUGGACGCCAGUCUGCAUGGAGCCGACCUUGAAAUACCACCCUUUAAUGUUUGAUGUUCUAACGUUGACCCGUAAUCCGGGUUGCGGACAGUGUCUGGUGGGUAGUUUGACUGGGGCGGUCUCCUCCUAAAGAGUAACGGAGGAGCACGAAGGUUGGCUAAUCCUGGUCGGACAUCAGGAGGUUAGUGCAAUGGCAUAAGCCAGCUUGACUGCGAGCGUGACGGCGCGAGCAGGUGCGAAAGCAGGUCAUAGUGAUCCGGUGGUUCUGAAUGGAAGGGCCAUCGCUCAACGGAUAAAAGGUACUCCGGGGAUAACAGGCUGAUACCGCCCAAGAGUUCAUAUCGACGGCGGUGUUUGGCACCUCGAUGUCGGCUCAUCACAUCCUGGGGCUGAAGUAGGUCCCAAGGGUAUGGCUGUUCGCCAUUUAAAGUGGUACGCGAGCUGGGUUUAGAACGUCGUGAGACAGUUCGGUCCCUAUCUGCCGUGGGCGCUGGAGAACUGAGGGGGGCUGCUCCUAGUACGAGAGGACCGGAGUGGACGCAUCACUGGUGUUCGGGUUGUCAUGCCAAUGGCACUGCCCGGUAGCUAAAUGCGGAAGAGAUAAGUGCUGAAAGCAUCUAAGCACGAAACUUGCCCCGAGAUGAGUUCUCCCUGACUCCUUGAGAGUCCUGAAGGAACGUUGAAG
Molecule: ribosomal RNA, 1795 nt
Filed under: Escherichia coli
Lineage: Bacteria; Pseudomonadati; Pseudomonadota; Gammaproteobacteria; Enterobacterales; Enterobacteriaceae
Description: partial 23S ribosomal RNA
Rfam family: Bacterial large subunit ribosomal RNA
Source: RNAcentral